Molecule: non-coding RNA, 85 nt
Filed under: Alexandrium minutum
Lineage: Eukaryota; Dinophyceae; Gonyaulacales; Pyrocystaceae
Source: RNAcentral
CUUUUUUUUUUUUUUUUUUUUUUUUUUUUUUUUUUUUUUUUUUUUUUUUUUUUUUUUUUUUUUUUAGAGCAUCACCGAGGAAGGC